RNAcentral lists this small nucleolar RNA (150 nucleotides) under Candida albicans. The record is from RNAcentral. Lineage: Eukaryota; Fungi; Ascomycota; Pichiomycetes; Serinales; Debaryomycetaceae. RNAcentral also lists the same sequence under 1 other name.
AUGGGACUUUUAUCUCCGGGUACAUGCCAUCAUCUAGGUGUAAUCGGUAAACGAAUCCCAAAUAUCAAAACAUUUAGCGUCAUCUUGCAGAAGGGUUAACACGAAUUAAAUUCUACGUGUUAGCUAUCCUUUUGAAGAUGACUCACAUUC